RNAcentral lists this ribosomal RNA (426 nucleotides) under uncultured prokaryote. RNAcentral describes it as "partial 16S ribosomal RNA". It matches the Rfam family "Bacterial small subunit ribosomal RNA", at positions 355 to 796 of the family's 1533-position model. The record is from RNAcentral.
UGGGGAAUUUUCCGCAAUGGGGGGAACCCUGACGGAGCAACGCCGCGUGCGGGAGGACGGCCUGUGGGUUGUAAACCGCUUUUCUCUAGGAAGAAGAUCUGACGGUACUAGAGGAAUCAGCAUCGGCUAACUCCGUGCCAGCAGCCGCGGUAAGACGGAGGAUGCAAGCGUUAUCCGGAAUUAUUGGGCGUAAAGCGUCCGUAGGCGGUUUAUCAAGUCAGUUGUUAAAGACUGCAGCUCAACUGUGGGCGAGCAACUGAAACUGAUUAACUAGAGUGCGGUAGGGGUAGAGGGAAUUCCCAGUGUAGCGGUGAAAUGCGUAGAUAUCAGGAAGAACACCGGUGGCGAAAGCGCUCUGCUAGGCCGUAACUGACACUGAGGGACGAAAGCUAAGGGAGCGAAUGGGAUUAGAUACCCCCGUAGUCC